GAAGGCAGAGAGGAUAUGAGGGACAAAAGCAAAGGAGUUGAGAGGGUGGAGAGGUGGUGAAUGGGGUGAGGUGAGUGGUAACAGGAGGUAAGGAAGAAAGAGGCAAUGAGGGGGAUAAGAGUGGAGAUAAUGGGGUAUAAAAAGAGAUGAGGAACUAGGAGAUGAGAGGAGAAAAGGAGAGAAGGACGCAGGGAAGGAAGGAAAGAAAAAAAGAUUGAGAAAAAGAAUUGAUGAGGCAGUGAAUGAGGUGAUGGGGAAAAGGGGAAGCAAGGGAAUUCAAGGAGGAGAUGAGGUAGUUAGGAGGUGAGAUGGUGAGGGAAGAGAGGGGAGGAGAGGCAUGAAGGUAAGAGUGAAAGUGAGGGGGAAAGAGAGGAGAUGAAGGGAAAGUGAGAAAGAGAUGGAUAGAUGAAGGCGAGUGAAAAAGUAAGAGAAAGGGUGAAGGGAGAGAGGUAGGAAGAAGUGAGUUCAGGAGAGGAGCAGGGAAGAGGGAAAAAGCAGGGAAGAUGAGUAGAAGGAGGAAAAGAUAAAGGAAAGAUGGAGGGAGUUACAAGAGGGGAAGAGGAGUGGAAAGUAAAAAGAUAGUUUGGGAGGUAGGUGAACGGAGGAAGAGAUGAGAAAGAAUGAAAAGAAAACAUGCUGGGAGAUGGAAAGAGAAAAGGAACAGGAAGGGGUUGAGAAGUGAGGGAAAAAGGAAAGUGAAAGGGAAGCAGAGAGAGGUGUAUUCACAGACACUUUCCACAAAGAAUUUCACCAUGCCUGUCAGCAAGAGACACAAUGUACAACCAACCCUCCUGUCACCACAACAGAGCCAACUCCUGGCUAUCCAGGAGGGAAUGAGCAACUGUGCCACAUACUGCUGAGAAGUCCCAGUUGGAUGAGGACAGAGAAUUGACCACUAGAUUGAGCUACACACAGGAAUGUGGCUGUACUGGGUUGAACAGGGCCCCCCAGAAGCUCAUGUCCACCCAGAACCUGUGAAUAUCACAUUAUUUGGACAUCAGGUCUUUGCAGGAGUAGUCAAGUUAAGGAAAUGUGCUCGAGGAAUAAUGAAAUGUUUAGACCAUAAAGAUCACUUUGCACAACUUGGAGACUUCACAGAUGAAAAAAUUGAGGCCCAGAGAGAGUCAGUGACUUGCCCAAGGUCAUGUGAUGAGAGGCGAGAGAACCGACAGGGUCCUUCCCAACCAGAAACAGAGACCAUCCUCCAGGUCCCAGCUGAGAGCCAGGGGCAUCUUGAUUUGUACCUGCCAGGUCUUUCUCAAGGGUGGGAGGUCUCCCAGAUGAUAUCUCAUGGGGGGCGGCUGAGGCAGGGGGCAAUGAUAUGACUUGUCCUAAAGCAGCAUUGGCAGAGCAAGCUUACUGAUUUGUUUUUGUCAUUGUUGUUUCGAUUUAGCUGACUUAUCAAAGUUCAUAAAAAUCAUCAAGUUUUCUAAGGAUUUUUAUAUUCCACUAGAUGUUAAGAUGCUUAAG
Long non-coding RNA from Choloepus didactylus (southern two-toed sloth), 1470 nucleotides. RefSeq lists it as uncharacterized. The record is from RefSeq and is a predicted model, not a curated record. The transcript is spliced from 4 exons. NCBI's taxonomy places the organism in Eukaryota, Metazoa, Chordata, Mammalia, Pilosa, Megalonychidae.